RNAcentral lists this long non-coding RNA (335 nucleotides) under Homo sapiens (human). RNAcentral describes it as "non-protein coding lnc-CCNY-3:1". The record is from RNAcentral. Lineage: Eukaryota; Metazoa; Chordata; Mammalia; Primates; Hominidae.
AUGGCCAGUCCAUUGCAGGGUAUCCUGCAGCUGCUACAGACCGAGAAGCAGGCUGCUGAGAAGGUUUCCAAGGCCCACAGGCAGAUGAACCGGGGGCUGAAGCAGGCCAAAGAAGUAGCUUAGGCUGAAAUUGAACAGUGCCGCCUGCAGAGGGUAAAAAGAGUUCAAGGCGAACGAAGCUGAAGCACUGAAGUGGAGAAGGAGGCCCAGGAGAAAAGAUGAUCACCCUCCAGACCUACUUCCAGCAGAACAAGGAUGAAGUCUUGAAUAACCUCUUGGCCUUUGUCUGCAACAUCCGGCCAGAAAUCUGUGAAAACUGCUGCAUAAAUGGGUAG